UCGAUUCCCCGACUGGGUGUAGCACGUGACCUCUCCCUUAAAGGACUCCACUGCACCUGCCACGUCGGCGCGGUAGUUGACCCGGCCCUUCGCGGCGAGCGGUUGUCCCACCGUUCCCUGCGCGUUGAAGCUCAGGUCGACCCUGCCCUCCGGGCCGACGGCGUGGGCUCCUCCCGUCGCCUUCGGGCCGCCCCCAGCGGCCUCGGCUGCCCCGACAGACAGAGCCGCGAGCACCACAGCCGACAUCACACUUACUGCACGACGCACUUCUGAACCCCCGAAUUUUCAGUAGGUACGCGACGUCGGUCGCGUGACGGCCGCAUCCCGAGGGCCGUCACAGCCCUCAACUUCUGACUGCCCCUCCGG
RNAcentral lists this unclassified non-coding RNA (366 nucleotides) under plant metagenome. RNAcentral's name for it is "partial contains 5.8S ribosomal RNA, internal transcribed spacer 2, and large subunit ribosomal RNA". The record is from RNAcentral.